Molecule: unclassified non-coding RNA, 294 nt
Filed under: Sabellaria sp. PR-2017
Lineage: Eukaryota; Metazoa; Annelida; Polychaeta; Sabellida; Sabellariidae
Description: partial internal trancribed spacer 2
Source: RNAcentral
GUUAUGCUUACCAAUCAUUGUUAUGUAUGUAGCAAUGCACUGGGCAUUCGAAAGAUACCCUUGGGUGUCUCCGUUGCCUGAAAUAGAGACUAUGAGAGAGCGAGACGUCAGAAAUCUUUCUCACUCGAAUCUUAGCUUGUCCAAUGGGCGACGUUUCGAACAUCUUAAACCGGCCUCCGUGCCGGGGAGAGGGUUUUGGAACGAGUGCUCGAGCUCCGAGCAAUACUCUUCCUACCUUCGCGAGACAAGUACACUCGUCUGAUGUCCGAUAGCAAGCUGAAAUUUUUUCCUCCU